This 207-nucleotide ribosomal RNA is filed under the name uncultured Rhodocyclaceae bacterium. RNAcentral's name for it is "partial 16S ribosomal RNA". It matches the Rfam family "Bacterial small subunit ribosomal RNA", at positions 1174 to 1382 of the family's 1533-position model. The record is from RNAcentral. Lineage: Bacteria; Pseudomonadati; Pseudomonadota; Betaproteobacteria; Rhodocyclales; Rhodocyclaceae.
UGGGGAUGACGUCAAGUCCUCAUGGCCCUUAUGGUAGGGCUUCACACGUCAUACAAUGGUCGGUACAGAGGGUUGCCAACCCGCGAGGGGAGCUAAUCCCACAAAGCCGAUCGUAGUCCGGAUCGCAGUCUGCAACUCGACUGCGUGAAGUCGGAAUCGCUAGUAAUCGUGGAUCAGCAUGUCACGGUGAAUACGUUCCCGGGUCUU